Molecule: ribosomal RNA, 468 nt
Filed under: uncultured bacterium
Lineage: Bacteria
Description: partial 16S ribosomal RNA
Rfam family: Bacterial small subunit ribosomal RNA
Source: RNAcentral
GACGAACGCUGGCGGCGUGCUUAACACAUGCAAGUCGAACGGAAAGGCCCUGCUUUUGUGGGGUGCUCGAGUGGCGAACGGGUGAGUAACACGUGAGUAACCUGCCCUUGACUUUGGGAUAACUUCAGGAAACUCGGGCUAAUACCGGAUAGGAGCUCCUGCUGCAUGGUGGGGGUUGGAAAGUUUCGGCGGUUGGGGAUGGACUCGCGGGGUAUCAGCUUGUUGGUGGGGUAGUGGCUUACCAAGGCUUUGACGGGUAGCCGGCCUGAGAGGGUGACCGGCCGCAUUGGGACUGAGGUACGGCCCAGACUCCUACGGGAGGCAGCAGUGGGGAAGAUUGCACAAUGGGCGGAGGCCUGAUGCAGCAACGCCGCGUGCGGGAUGACGGCCUUCGGGUUGUAAACCGAUUUCGCCUGUGACGAAGCGUGAGUGACGGUAAUGGGUAAAGAAGCACCGGCUAACUACGUG